UGGGGAAUAUUGGACAAUGGGCGAAAGCCUGAUCCAGCAAUGCCGCGUGUGUGAAGAAGGUCUUCGGAUUGUAAAGCACUUUCGACGGGGACGAUGAUGACGGUACCCGUAGAAGAAGCCCCGGCUAACUUCGUGCUAG
Molecule: ribosomal RNA, 139 nt
Filed under: uncultured bacterium
Lineage: Bacteria
Description: partial 16S ribosomal RNA
Rfam family: Bacterial small subunit ribosomal RNA
Source: RNAcentral